RNAcentral lists this ribosomal RNA (253 nucleotides) under uncultured bacterium. RNAcentral describes it as "partial 16S ribosomal RNA". It matches the Rfam family "Bacterial small subunit ribosomal RNA", at positions 524 to 776 of the family's 1533-position model. The record is from RNAcentral.
UACGUAGGGGGCAAGCGUUGUCCGGAAUCAUUGGGCGUAAAGCGCGUGUAGGCGGCUUGGUAAGUCCGCUGUGAAAGCCCGAGGCUUAACCUCGGAGGGUCGGUGGAUACUGGCAGUCUUGAAGGUGGUAGGGAGAGAUGGAAUUACCGGUGUAGCGGUGAAAUGCGUAGAGAUCGGUAGGAACACCAGUGGCGAAGGCGGUCUCUUGGCCCACUCUUGACGCUGAGGCGCGAAAGCUGGGGGAGCGAACGGG